RNAcentral lists this ribosomal RNA (521 nucleotides) under Libellulidae sp. BOLD:ACO2281. RNAcentral's name for it is "partial 16S ribosomal RNA". It matches the Rfam family "Bacterial large subunit ribosomal RNA", at positions 1819 to 2613 of the family's 2925-position model. Lineage: Eukaryota; Metazoa; Arthropoda; Insecta; Odonata; Libellulidae. The record is from RNAcentral.
GGCCUUUUGAAUUUAAUUGAAGGUCUGACCUGCCCAGUGAUGAAUUUAACGGCCGCGGUAUACUGACCGUGCAAAGGUAGCAUAAUCAUUAGUCUUUUAAUAGAGGGCUGGAAUGAAAGGUUUAACGAGGAACUGACUGUCUCAUUUUAUUUGUUUUAAAAUUUAAUUUUUUAGUUAAAAAGCUAAAAUUUUAUUGGAAGACGAGAAGACCCUAUAGAUCUUUACAUAUUUUUAAUUAAAUAUUUUUAUAUUAAUAUUUUUAUUUAAUAUUAUGUUUUGUUGGGGUGACAAAAAUAUAAAUAUAACUUUUUUAUUUAUUUAACAUUGAUAUAUGAUUAUUAGAUCCAUUCUUAUUGAUUAUUAGAACAAGUUACCUUAGGGAUAACAGCGUAAUCCUCCUCCAGAGUUCAUAUUUACAGGAAGGGCUUGCGACCUCGAUGUUGGAUUAAGAUAAUAAUUAGGUGUAGCCGCUUAAUUUAUAGGUCUGUUCGACCUUUAAAUUCUUACGUGAUCUGAGUUCA